This 478-nucleotide ribosomal RNA is filed under the name uncultured bacterium. Its description in RNAcentral is "partial 16S ribosomal RNA". It matches the Rfam family "Bacterial small subunit ribosomal RNA", at positions 28 to 523 of the family's 1533-position model. The record is from RNAcentral.
GACGAACGCUGGCGGCGUGCUUAACACAUGCAAGUCGAACGGUAAGGCCCUUCGGGGUACACGAGUGGCGAACGGGUGAGUAACACGUGGGUGAUCUGCCCUGCACUUCGGGAUAAGCCUGGGAAACUGGGUCUAAUACCGGAUAGGACCCUGGGAUGCAUGUCCUGGGGUGGAAAGCUUUUGCGGUGUGGGAUGGGCCCGCGGCCUAUCAGCUUGUUGGUGGGGUGAUGGCCUACCAAGGCGACGACGGGUAGCCGGCCUGAGGGGGUGACCGGCCACACUGGGACUGAGAUACGGCCCAGACUCCUACGGGAGGCAGUAGUGGGGAAUAUUGCACAAUGGGCGCAAGCCUGAUGCAGCGACGCCGCGUGAGGGAUGACGGCCUUCGGGUUGUAAACCUCUUUCAGCACCGACGAAGCGCAAGUGACGGUAGGUGCAGAAGAAGGACCGGCCAACUACGUGCCAGCCGCCGCAGUAA